CCUACGGGCGGCAGCAGUGGGGAAUAUUGGACAAUGGGCGAAAGCCUGAUCCAGCCAUGCCGCGUGUGUGAAGAAGGCCUUCGGGUUGUAAAGCACUUUCAGUGGGGAAGAAAGCCUUGGGGCUAAUACCCUCGAGGAAGGACAUCACCCACAGAAGAAGCACCGGCUAACUCCGUGCCAGCAGCCGCGGUAAUACGGAGGGUGUGAGCGUUAAUCGGAAUUACUGGGCGUAAAGCGCGCGUAGGCGGUCUGAUAAGCCGGUUGUGAAAGCCCCGGGCUCAACCUGGGAACGGCAUCCGGAACUGUCAGGCUAGAGUGCAGGAGAGGAAGGUAGAAUUCCCGGUGUAGCGGUGAAAUGCGUAGAGAUCGGGAGGAAUACCAGUGGCGAAGGCGGCCUUCUGGACUGACACUGACGCUGAGGUGCGAAAGCGUGGGUAGCAAACAGGAUUAGAUACCCUGGUAGUC
RNAcentral lists this ribosomal RNA (465 nucleotides) under Vreelandella stevensii. RNAcentral's name for it is "partial 16S ribosomal RNA". It matches the Rfam family "Bacterial small subunit ribosomal RNA", at positions 338 to 795 of the family's 1533-position model. Lineage: Bacteria; Pseudomonadati; Pseudomonadota; Gammaproteobacteria; Oceanospirillales; Halomonadaceae. The record is from RNAcentral.